GGAAGCGGAAGUGCGCGGCGGCUGCGACGGGCCGAGGUUUGUGCGGGCGCGUCUCCGGCUGUGCUGGCGCAUCUCUAGAUCCUUUCCAGGAGGUCAGUUAUGGGUGUGAGAGGCUUACAUGGAUUUGUGGGAAGUAGCUGCCCACAUAUAUGUAUGGUAGUAAAUUUCAAAGAGCUGGCAGAGCACCACCGAAGCAGGCAUCCUGGAGGGACUCCUACCAUUGUGGUCGACGCCAUGUGUUGCCUCAGAUACUGGUACACGCCGGAAUCUUGGAUCUGUGGUGGCCAGUGGCGGGAAUACUUUUCUUCUUUGCGAGAAUUUGUGAAAACUUUUACAGCUGUUGGCAUCAAGUUGAUAUUCUUCUUUGAUGGCAUGGUGGAGCAGUCCAAGAGAGACGAGUGGGUGAAACGAAGACUCAAGAACAACAGGGAGAUAGCCAAGAUCUUCCAUUAUAUCAAGUCCCACAGGGAGCAGCCUGGCAGAAACAUGUUCUUCAUCCCCUCAGGGCUGGCCAUAUUCACCCAGUUUGCCUUGAAGGCCCUGGGUCAGGAAACUCUGUGUUCGUUACAGGAGGCCGACUAUGAGGUGGCUUCCUACGGCCUCCGGAACAACUGUCUUGGGAUUCUUGGAGAAGACACUGACUAUUUAAUUUAUGACACCUGUCCCUACUUUUCCAUCAGUGAGCUCUCCCUGGACAGUCUGGACACCGUCAUGCUCUGCCGAGAGAAGCUCUGUCAGAGCCUGGGUCUCAGCCUGUCCGACCUUCCUCUACUGGCCUGCCUGCUUGGCAACGACAUCAUCCCAGAAGGCAUGUUCGAAAGCUUUCGUUACAAGUGCUUGUCUUCUUAUACCUCUGUGAAAGAGAACUUUGACAAAAAAGGUAACAUUAUCUUAGCUGUAGCAGACCACAUAUGUAAAGUUCUUCGGUUGCAUCAAGGUGAGAAGAAGCUGGAAGAGAUGUUACCUUUGGGGCCAAACAAAGCUCUUUUUUAUAAAGGAAUGGCAUCAUAUCUUUUGCCAGGACAGAAAUCUCCAUGGUUUUUCCAAAAACCUAAAGGUGUAGUAACUUUGGACAAGCAGGUACUAUCCAUGAGUUCAGAUCCUAAAUCCAAGCAAGAAGUUCCCGUGUGUACACACCCUGAAUCCAAGCAAGAAGUUCCCAUGUGUACAGACCCUGAAUCCAAGCAAGAAGUUCCUUUGUGUACACACCCUGAAUCCAAACAAGAGGUUCCCAUGUACACAGACCCUGAAUCCAAACAAGAAGUUCCCAUGUGUACACACCCUGAAUCCAAGGAAGAAGUUCCCAUGUACACCGACCCUGAAUCCAAGCAAGAAGUUCCCUUAUGUACACACCCUGAAUCCAGGCAGGAAGUUCUCUUAUGCACACACCCUGAAUCCAAGCAGAAAUUACCUGUAGGUAUGGACCCUGAAUUUAACCUAGAAGCACCGCUGUGUACAAACCCUGAAAUUAAACAAGAAGAUCCUGUAAAUAUGGGGCCUGAAGUCAAGCAACAAAUAACUAUGGUUUCGGAUCCUGAAAUCUUAAAGGUUGCCAGAGCACAUCACGUCCAGGCAGAGAGCUACCUGGUGUACAACGUCAUGAGCAGUGGGGAGGUCGAAUGCAGCAACAGCCUGGAGGACGCGAUGGACCAAGCUCUGCCCAGCCAAGCCUUCGUCUACCGCCCAGUGCGGCAGCGGGUGUACUCCCUCUUGCUGGGGGAUGGCAGAGGUGGUGCCAGCACCUGCCCCACUGUCAAGGAGUGGUUUGUGUACUCUGGGAACCCACUGAGGCAGCCGGACCUCGUCAGGCCUCUGCAGAUGAACAUUCCAGGGGGAACGCCUAGUUUGAAGCUCCUGUGGCUGGGCCAAGAGGCAGGACUACAGGCCCAGCGCUUGGACACACUUCUGGCCUGUUUUGACCUUUCCUUCUCGCGAGAAGAGCUGCAGGUGGUCGAGAGCCCCUUUCAAGCGUUGUGCUGCCUCCUGAUCUACCUCUUUGUGCAGGUGGACACCCUCUGUCUGGAGGAUCUGCACGCCUUCAUCGCACAGGCCCUGUGCCUCGAAGGAAAGACCACCAUGGAGCUUGCAGACUUGCAGCUCGACCACGUCGACCCCAGGGCCGUGCAGCUGGGUACCCUCCUGGUCCGCGGCCUCACCACCCUGGUGCUGGUCAACAGUGCCUGUGGCUUCCCCUGGAAGACGUCGGACUUCAUGCCCUGGAAUUUGUUCGACGGGAAGCUGUUUCAUCAGAAGUACCUGCAGUCUGAGAAAGGGUACACAGCAGAGGCGCUUGUGGAACAAAACAGGUCCCGGCUCACCCGACUCCAUGCCCUGAAGUCAGUCGUGUGCAAGGCCUGCAUGAAGGAGGACAGACCCAUCGUCAGCCGGCGGCACUGGCGUUCACACCACUCAGCACCGCACAGGCUCUCAGUGGCAGAGCCCAGCCCCUUGGCCCCAGCCCGGCGUCCUUCGGUCACCUGCCCCCAGCCGCUGUCGCCUCCUCCUGGGACGAGCUGGGCGGAGGGGCCGACAGGGACCCAGCGCCCACAGGACGAGCUCUGGGUACAGCCGGUCUGGCCAAGGACAGCACUGGAGGGACCAGGGGCCAGUUGGUGCAGGAAGUAGACAGUAUGACCCUGACCAAUGGAGAAGAUAUUAAUCAUCUUCUGGGCAGCGGGUAGAGAAGGGAGCCAGGAAGACAAGGCGGAGCUGAAGACACUCACGGAAAACCACCUGCGACAUGUCGCCCAGAACCACCACUGCAGCUUCACCCCGAAUACAAGUAUCGCCCUAACAGUACUGUUUAGCAGUGUUGUCUGAGCAUCUGGGUUUUGCCCCCGUGGCUCGGACGUGCAUGGAGACUUCGGCUGUCCAACAAGUUUUCCCAGAACAAGCAAACUACAGGAGAACCUCAGACCAGACGCAGAGGAGCAGGGCCUGUGGUGCUGAGUCCCCUCCUGCCAGUGGAGGGCUGCCCUGGGCCGCCCGACCGGACGCCGGUGCUUGUGGGCAGUUCAGGCCAAGAUGUGGACAGGGGUUCAGGGAUCUGCUUCCCAACCCACCAGCCAGGAGAAAAGGACUAAGUGACCGUGCCUGAAUACAUGCUGUGAUCCUCAGUAACAGAAUGAUCUGGGCAGUUCCGAGGCGUGUCAGUCCCUCUCAUGCCUCCCCCGCCAGCCAGACCCCGCCCAGCUUGCAGCCGUCCUGCUGCUUCCGCGGGAGUAAGGAGACCCAGAGGGCUGGGGUCAGACAAGCUGAGCAAAACCCAGGUGCCCCUGAAUCUCCCUGAGCCUCAAUUUCCUCACCCAUAAAAUGGGGGCGUCCUUUCCAGGAGGUGGGGCUGAGUCAGAGGAGGCUGUGCUCACCUCCAGCAGGUGCCGGUCGCCUCUCCGUCCUCUCUGUGUGCGUCUCUGCCCCGUCUCUCUGUCUCUCUCUGUCUCUCUCUCUGUCUGUGUCUUUCUCUGCCUCUGUCUCUGCUUCCACCCCUAACAGUCAUGUCCUGGCUACCUGGCCUCAACGCUAAGCCCUGGACGUCCAGAAGACGCACACAGGAGCCCCUGCAGUGCUCACUGCCCUUCUUAAGUCACUCCUAGUUCAAGGGUAGCGUUUGAAUGUGCCCUUGGCCCGAGAGGCAGAAGGCCCAGGGGGCUGAUGGGAAACUGAGGGGACGGCCAGCUUCUCUGCAGGAGUUGGAACUUGAGACAGACAGGCAGCAGGAACUGAGCCGCUGGCAGCUGAAGCCAAAGCCAGAAGACACACAGAGAACAGUCCUUGGCUCUCCCAGGAUCUCGUCUCCUUCAAAGCGGCCACACAAACUAGCUUGACGAGCUAAUCCCAAAACCUGAAAGAAAUGAGGCACCAUUGAAAGCAGUCAGGCAGAUGUCACCUAGACAAUGGCUCUCCCUCCCCUCUGCACAGAAGGCUGAUGUGGAAACUGAGGCACAGACAGGGCAGCACCAGGAGUCUCGCCCUGCGUUCCCACUUCACAGCCUGAACUCCUAACCACCACUGUCCUUUGCAGUUUUCAGGGAAGUGUCAGAAGCUAAGAGAUCUGUAACAUUUUAGGCUUUGGGGUCAGAUGCAAUCUCUUCGCCUCUCCAGCUACGGUGACUGUGGGGAAGGAUUUACCCUCUCCGAGUCCCAGGCUCCUCAUCUGUGUGACAAAGUAGGGCUACUGUCAGGAUUAAAUGGCAUGAAUUCUGUUACAGAAGACGCGGCCCUCCUGUCAGAGCCGAGCCUCCAGGCUGAGGGGGGCUGGUGAGGGGGUGGUCUGAGGAUUGCUCCUUGGGCAGGAGUUUUCCUUUGUCCCCUCGGUUGCCACCCUCCUACCUCUACCCCACGGAGUGCUUUCUGAUGGUUCUGGAAGCCCUCCUGCCUACCCAUUUCUGUCCAGGGCGACUCCCCAGCUUGUGUCUGCUGGUUCCCAGUGUGGCUUCACAUUCAUGACAUAGAAUCACAAAGUCCCCUCAAAACCCGUGUUCUCGAAGGAGCGGAGGGUCAGAGGCCUGAAGUGGUCUGUCCCGUGCCACAGGCUGUGCGGUACAGACGGUCACCGGUCAAGCAGGGGCUGGAUCCACUCAUUCACCAAAACCACUUGCUGUGCACCCUGAGGGCCAGGCACCUGUCCAAGCGUGCAAGACGUGUGAAGCUUUGCCCUCCUGGCUGCAGUCGAUAGGGGACAAGAUUAUAACCAGCAGACACUGCACAAGGGGCCACAGCAGGAAACAGUGGCGGAGGUGGGGAGGGCGUGGUGCCCCAGAAAGGGACGAGGGAGCCCCAUCUUCUGAGCAAGCCACCCAGGGAGGGCGUCCCGCAGGCUGGGCGGGCGGUGCCAGCUUCCCGCCCGCUCUCAGGAGCCCUGCCCCCCGCCAGCUUACGCGUAGCCUCCGGCCCUGCCUUUCGGGCCCAGGCUCUCUGAGCACCUACUGUUUACAACAGAGCAGGGAAAGAAUGAGGCUCCUCCCAGAAUGGGCGCAGGGGCUGGGAAACCAGCAGGUGCUCUGGACAGAAAACUCAGCAGAAAAGAGAAUAUCUGGAAACAGCCCUCUGACCUACGUACCACAGAGCGGGAAUGUGUCGGCUUCCAGAAGCGUCUGGGGACAGAGCUUCCCGGGUUUCAGCACCACUCCCCACGGCCCCUGGGGAGGCACCGGGACUCCCAGAAGGGGAGAGAGCAGUAACCCCUCUUAUCCUCGAGCCUUUCUGUGCCUUUCCUCACUGUCAUUACCACAUCUGUGAACAUCUGGAUUCCAGAGAAACAGGGCACUGGAUUAGAUCUCUAGUAGCCAGGUUCUUAGGCAAAUUUUUCCCCUUUAAACGAAGUAAGUCUAUUAAUAUGAAAGACAACAUACAGCUCUGGACACAUGGCCUGUUGAGGCUAAAAGAGAUGAAGGUUUCUUCAUUUGGGAAAGGCUUUGGGGAGAUAUCUCGACUCUGGGAAAUAGAGCACAGCUAAUAUCUGGGAGGAAGGCUCUCGUGCUCCGACGUUUCGAACGCUGAUGGCUGUUGUGCGGUGUUUGUUGUGCUGUGUUGCGUUGUGUUGCUCACUUGCCUUUCUUUCUGGGAGGUUGUGCAUCUCCGAUCUUCUUCUUCCUUGGGAAUUUUUAGCAAGUAGCAAAUUCACAAGUAUGAAAUCCAUGGGUAAUGAGGGUUGACUGUAUACAUAUGUACACAUACAUGUAGUCUCAGGGUAUGUACAUGUGAGAUGGGCACCAAACAUAGGCUGCAUUGAAGUUGCCAACCGUGUAUUGUGCUACUUUCGUGUGCCCUGUUUGCUCCAAGCACUGGUACUGAAACACUGAGAGGCACAGAGUUGCUGCUCCUAGAGGGUUUAUUCUAAUGGGAGAGACUGAGUAAACUCAAGACAAGUGAACAAAUAGUUGCAGAUUAUGCUAAUUACUAGGAACAAAAUAAUCAGUUUACUCUUCCAAAGAAUAAGUACUCAGACAGGGUAGAUGAGAGAGAUGACAGCUGGCACCUGAAGAGCCAAAGGAAGCCCUUCGUAACGGCGUGAAGACGUCUGGGGAGGGGAGAAGGUGAGGUGGCUGGUGGCCUGGAGACCCGAAGUGGCUGGCGAGGCUGGCAGAGCCCCAGGCCUGGGGCGUGGUUAGUUCUGUGGACGAGAAUGGGGCUGGUGGGAGUGGUUAGUGGAAUUUUGACUCUUUCUGUAAUUGUGGAUUUUUAAUGAAAAGAUAUAGUCAUGUAGCAUAAUAUAAUAACAAAAAUUUAACUAACAAAAGCCAAGCGUAUCCAAGUUUCUUCAAGAGUGGCCUCCAGAGCCCUAAGAAACACCCACGACCAGAACUUGGAUGAAGAAGGAGAAAGCAUACAGAAGUCCGAGGAGCAGCUAAUGAAGCAGGAGAAAGCUCUGGAGAGUGCGGCGUCACAGAGCCAAGACAGACAGAAGGGAGUCCAGGCCAGAGAAUUCUUUUUUGAUUUGGCCUGACUACAUCCGUGGUGCCUUGACAAGAGCCCUUCGAUGUGUCAGAGUGCAGGAGGGCACGUGGAGGGAAGGAUCGCGGGCAGUGUUUGCAGAAAGUGUUUCGGGGACUUUGACUAUAAAGAGAAUCAGAGUAAUGGAACAGCAGCUGGAGGGGGGUUAGGAGGCCAGAGAGGUUCUCUUGUUUCUUUAUGUGGGAGACCCUAAAGCACAUCAGUUUACCAGUGAGGAUGACCAAGUCCUAAAGAAAGAUCAGUAAUUCACAACAGAGGAGGGUGUUAUAGGAGGAAAGAAGACCUAGACAAUGAGAAGGAAUGGGGUCAGAAAUUCCUGUGAAAUAACUGAUCUUUGUUAGGAGGAAAGACCUUCUCCAGUUGUAUCUGGAUGGAAUAAAGAGAGAAAGGUGCAGAUAGUAUAGACUUGGGAGGAGAGUACAAUGAUAGUAUAAUACAUCAGGGUGGCACAGUGGUUCCUGGUGGCACAGUGGUGGCACAGUGGUGACACAGUGGUUAGGAAUCUGCCUGCCAAUGCAGGGGACACGGGUUCGAGUCCUGGUCUGGGAAGAUCCCACAUGCCGCGGAGCAACUGAGCCCGUGCACCACAACUACUGAGCUGGUGCUCUAGAGCCUGCGAGCCACAACUACUGAGCCCACGUGCCACAACUACUGAGCCCACGUGCCACAACUACUGAAGCCCACGUGCCACAACUACUGAAGCCCGUGCGCCUAGAGCCCGUACUCCGCAACGAGAGAAGCCACCGCAAUGAGAAGCCCACGCACCACGACAAAGAGUAGCCCCUGCUCGCCACAACUAGAGAAAGCCCGCACGCAGCAACGAAGACCCAACG
This is an RNA transcript of Balaenoptera ricei (Rice's whale), 7286 nucleotides long. It is a transcript of the gene named family with sequence similarity 120 member B, with no coding region annotated. The record is from RefSeq and is a predicted model, not a curated record. The transcript has 18 exons. NCBI's taxonomy places the organism in Eukaryota, Metazoa, Chordata, Mammalia, Artiodactyla, Balaenopteridae.